This 222-nucleotide ribosomal RNA is filed under the name uncultured bacterium. Its description in RNAcentral is "partial 16S ribosomal RNA". It matches the Rfam family "Bacterial small subunit ribosomal RNA", at positions 524 to 744 of the family's 1533-position model. The record is from RNAcentral.
UACAGAGGUCCAAGCGUUGUUCGGAUUCACUGGGCGUAAAGGGUGCGUAGGUGGCGCUUGGUAAGUUUGAUGUGAAAUCGUCCGGCUUAACCCGGAAAUGGCAUUGAAUACUAUUGAGCUGGAGGUUUGGAGGGGGACUGGAAUUCUCGGUGUAGCAGUGAAAUGCGUAGAUAUCGAGAGGAACACCAGUGGCGAAAGGCGGCUUCCUGGACCAGCACCGAC